RNAcentral lists this ribosomal RNA (276 nucleotides) under uncultured Loktanella sp. RNAcentral describes it as "partial 16S ribosomal RNA". It matches the Rfam family "Bacterial small subunit ribosomal RNA", at positions 54 to 353 of the family's 1533-position model. The record is from RNAcentral. Lineage: Bacteria; Pseudomonadati; Pseudomonadota; Alphaproteobacteria; Rhodobacterales; Roseobacteraceae.
GCUACCAUGCAAGUCGAGCGCACUCUUCGGAGUGAGCGGCGGACGGGUUAGUAACGCGUGGGAAUAUACCCUUUACUACGGAAUAGCCUUUGGAAACGAAGAGUAAUACCGUAUACGCCCUUCGGGGGAAAGAUUUAUCGGUAAAGGAUUAGCCCGCGUCUGAUUAGAUAGUUGGUGGGGUAACGGCCUACCAAGUCUACGAUCAGUAGCUGGUUUGAGAGGAUGAUCAGCAACACUGGGACUGAGACACGGCCCAGACUCCUACGGGAGGCAACA